AACGAGGCGAACCGGGGGAACUGAAACAUCUAAGUACCCCGAGGAAAAGAAAUCAACCGAGAUUCCCCCAGUAGCGGCGAGCGAACGGGGAGCAGCCCGGAGUCUGAAUCAGCUUGUGUGUUAGUGGAAGCGUCUGGAAAGUCGCAGGGUACAGGGUGAUACUCCCGUACACUAAAACACACAGGCUGUGAACUCGAAGAGUAGGGCGGGACACGUGGUAUCCUGUCUGAAUAUGGGGGGACCAUCCUCCAAGGCUAAAUACUCCUGACUGACCGAUAGUGAACCAGUACCGUGAGGGAAAGGCGAAAAGAACCCCGGCGAGGGGAGUGAAAAAGAACCUGAAACCGUGUACGUACAAGCAGUAGGAGCCCCACCACCAAAGCGUUUCGCUUUGCGUGGUGCGCAAAAUGCGUAACGACAGCAUGAUGGACGGUUAACGGAGCGUCAGCGACGUUCAACCUCAAAAAUCAGGCAGUGGAGCGUUUUGGGGUGGGGUGACUGCGUACCUUUUGUAUAAUGGGUCAGCGACUUAUAUUCUGUAGCAAGGUUAACCGUAUAGGGGAGCCGCAGGGAAACCGAGUCUUAACUGGGCGUUAAGUUGCAGGGUAUAGACCCGAAACCCGGUGAUCUAGCCAUGGGCAGGUUGAAGGUUGGGUAACACUAACUGGAGGACCGAACCGACUAAUGUUGAAAAAUUAGCGGAUGACUUGUGGCUGGGGGUGAAAGGCCAAUCAAACCGGGAGAUAGCUGGUUCUCCCCGAAAGCUAUUUAGGUAGCGCCUCGUGAAUUCAUCUUCGGGGGUAGAGCACUGUUUCGGCUAGGGGGUCAUCCCGACUUACCAACCCGAUGCAAACUACGAAUACCGAAGAAUGUUAUCACGGGAGACACACGGCGGGUGCUAACGUCCGUCGUGAAGAGGGAAACAACCCAGACCGCCAGCUAAGGUCCCAAAGUCAUGGUUAAGUGGGAAACGAUGUGGGAAGGCCCAGACAGCCAGGAUGUUGGCUUAGAAGCAGCCAUCAUUUAAAGAAAGCGUAAUAGCUCACUGGUCGAGUCGGCCUGCGCGGAAGAUGUAACGGGGCUAAACCAUGCACCGAAGCUGCGGCAGCGACACUAUGUGUUGUUGGGUAGGGGAGCGUUCUGUAAGCCGUUGAAGGUGGCCUGUGAGGGUUGCUGGAGGUAUCAGAAGUGCGAAUGCUGACAUAAGUAACGAUAAUGCGGGUGAAAAACCCGCACGCCGGAAGACCAAGGGUUCCUGUCCAACGUUAAUCGGGGCAGGGUGAGUCGACCCCUAAGGCGAGGCCGAAAGGCGUAGUCGAUGGGAAACAGGUUAAUAUUCCUGUACUUGGUGUUACUGCGAAGGGGGGACGGAGAAGGCUAUGUUGGCCGGGCGACGGUUGUCCCGGUUUAAGCAUGUAGGCGGAUGUUCCAGGUAAAUCCGGAACGUUACUAACGCUGAGGUGUGAUGACGAGGCACUACGGUGCUGAAGUGACAAAUGCCCUGCUUCCAGGAAAAGCCUCUAAGCAUCAGGUAACAUCAAAUCGUACCCCAAACCGACACAGGUGGUCAGGUAGAGAAUACCAAGGCGCUUGAGAGAACUCGGGUGAAGGAACUAGGCAAAAUGGUGCCGUAACUUCGGGAGAAGGCACGCUGAUGGUAAGUGAAGUGACUUGCUCAUGGAGCUGAAAUCAGUCGAAGAUACCAGCUGGCUGCAACUGUUUAUUAAAAACACAGCACUGUGCAAACACGAAAGUGGACGUAUACGGUGUGACGCCUGCCCGGUGCCGGAAGGUUAAUUGAUGGGGUUAUCCUCACGGAGAAGCUCUUGAUCGAAGCCCCGGUAAACGGCGGCCGUAACUAUAACGGUCCUAAGGUAGCGAAAUUCCUUGUCGGGUAAGUUCCGACCUGCACGAAUGGCGUAAUGAUGGCCAGGCUGUCUCCACCCGAGACUCAGUGAAAUUGAACUCGCUGUGAAGAUGCAGUGUACCCGCGGCAAGACGGAAAGACCCCGUGAACCUUUACUAUAGCUUGACACUGAACACUGGUCCUUGAUGUGUAGGAUAGGUGGGAGGCUUUGAAGUGUGGACGCCAGUCUGCAUGGAGCCGUCCUUGAAAUACCACCCUUUAAUGGCUGGUGUUCUAACGUGGGCCCGUGAUCCGGGUUGCGGACAGUGUCUGGUGGGUAGUUUGACUGGGGCGGUCUCCUCCUAAAGAGUAACGGAGGAGCACGAAGGUCAGCUAAUCCUGGUCGGACAUCAGGAGGUUAGUGCAAUGGCAUAAGCUGGCUUGACUGCGAGCGUGACGGCGCGAGCAGGUGCGAAAGCAGGUCAUAGUGAUCCGGUGGUUCUGAAUGGAAGGGCCAUCGCUCAACGGAUAAAAGGUACUCCGGGGAUAACAGGCUGAUACCGCCCAAGAGUUCAUAUCGACGGCGGUGUUUGGCACCUCGAUGUCGGCUCAUCACAUCCUGGGGCUGAAGUAGGUCCCAAGGGUAUGGCUGUUCGCCAUUUAAAGUGGUACGCGAGCUGGGUUUAGAACGUCGUGAGACAGUUCGGUCCCUAUCUGCCGUGGGCGCUGGAGAAUUGAGGGGGGCUGCUCCUAGUACGAGAGGACCGGAGUGGACGCAUCACUGGUGUUCGGGUUGUCAUGCCAAUGGCAUUGCCCGGUAGCUAAAUGCGGAAGAGAUAAGUGCUGAAAGCAUCUAAGCACGAAACUUGCCCCGAGAUGAGUUCUCCCUGACUCCUUGAGAGUCCUGAAGGAACGUUGAAGACGACGACGUUGAUAGGCCGGGUGUGUAAGCGCAGCGAUGCGUUGAGCUAACCGGUACUAAUGAACCGUGAGGCUUAACCUU
Molecule: ribosomal RNA, 2849 nt
Filed under: Klebsiella oxytoca
Lineage: Bacteria; Pseudomonadati; Pseudomonadota; Gammaproteobacteria; Enterobacterales; Enterobacteriaceae
Description: bacterial LSU rRNA
Rfam family: Bacterial large subunit ribosomal RNA
Source: RNAcentral